GAAGGAGAAGAAGAAUUAAAUUCUGCAGAGUUUCUCUCUGCCCACAAACUGUGGAAAACUUCUUAUUCACUUUGCAACUGCAAAAUACUGUGAAUACAAUGUUAUGAAUACUCUAUUCACUUCAUUACAAAAAUUAGGGUUACUCCCUCUAUUUAUAGAUUUAUGUUAACUUGUACCUCAAGCCAAAACCCAAAACUAUAAAAGCCCAAAAUAGCUAACACUACUAAAAU
This 230-nucleotide long non-coding RNA is filed under the name Lathyrus oleraceus (garden pea). Its description in RNAcentral is "Pisum sativum (pea) long non-coding RNA (PSAT_LNC021014)". The record is from RNAcentral. Lineage: Eukaryota; Viridiplantae; Streptophyta; Magnoliopsida; Fabales; Fabaceae.